This is a long non-coding RNA of Numida meleagris (helmeted guineafowl), 1658 nucleotides long. The record is from Ensembl. Lineage: Eukaryota; Metazoa; Chordata; Aves; Galliformes; Numididae.
UUGAAAGAUACCUUGGCGGAGUACUCUUCAUUGUCAUUCAUACAUUGGUUGAGGCCAGAGAUACUAAAGCCAGAAUGAACUAUUCUCAUCUCUGUGGUGCUUGUAGGAAGUGGUGUAGAGCUUCCAUUUGAGCUUAAUUAUCCCUUUAGAAGUCUGUGCAUUUUCAGAGUAUGUCUUUGCUUUGAUUUUGAAAUUAUAGAACACCUGGAGAACAGGAGGAAUCACUUGUGAACCGGAAGUAUGCCUUGAGCUACAAAGGAGUAUGAGGAUAUUCAGAGGAGUAUGCAACAUUGAUCUUGAAGCCUUGCCUUUCUGUAUUGAUGCUUGAGAGAGGGAUUCUUCUGUGCAAGCUCUGUUCAUGUCCUUGGCAUCUGCAAGCUGCAACAUUGCCGAAUUCUACUUCUCACGGAGCUGCGUUAUGAAUAGCUACUACAACCUGGAAAUUUUUGAUGUGAAUUCCAGAUGGUUGCUAAGCCUGAAGCAUUAAGCAUCAUAACCAAAGGCCACAGCCUUAAUGUGUGGAGGAAAGAAAGAAGUGACAGGAAAAACCUAGAAAUGAGGGCUGGAGGGGAAGGAAAGGACUUAGAGAAGUCUUUAUCUCUGACUUGUUAUGGAAUCAGAACCGUACUAAGGCAUUGGAAACAGCAGGAGUGGGAAAACUUCACAAGGUCUAAGAAAAUGGUGGAAACUGUGCUUCCUACUCCUAAUUUUUCUCCGGGUAUCCUGCUUGAAUUAUGCUUCCUGACCUGUUCCACAAGAAAGAUGCUGGAAGGAGGUGAUGAUAAACAGAACCUGUUCUCACGUUUAUAGUUUCAUCAGUUAUGUGUGGUUUUAGCAUAUGCUUCUAGAUUCCUUGACUUGAAAGUCCAUGCUGUUGUAAUUCAGUAGCUGUGUUGUAACACCAUCUGAAGGUAGAUUAACAGUUUUUUGUUUCAGCUAAUUGAGCAUUUUAAAUUUUAAGUACAAUUUUAUAUCAUUAUUUAGGUUGGGGCCUUCUACCUUUGAUAGUUCAGAAUACAUGCAUUUACCCAGUAACCUCUGUGCACUUUCUCUACACACUAUUCUUACGCAAAUAGCAAAUGCUGUUAUUUAAUAAUGUUCAGUGAAUACAACGGUUGGCAUAAUAUGCGUGUAAGCUAGUAAAUGUUGUAAAACUGGAAAAAAAAAAAACCUGCAGCCAUUAUGACUGCAUUUUUGCAUAAUGUUUUUGUCAUUGGGAAAGCUAGUGAGAGACAAAAUUCCUCAAGAUGUAGCAGCUGGCAAGGUCUCCAUGGUUACAUUGGCAAGAAAUGUGGGAAAGUACCAAAAGUAGUUUAUUGCUCAACAGUAAAACAUCAUUGGGGAAUACUCCUUGAAUCAUCUGAGGAAACGUCUUAAAGAAAAGCUUUAAUUAAAAAAGGAGAGAGAGAAGGUCUGUUUAUGGAAAAAUGCUUAAAACUGAAUACAAGUAAUGACAAAGAUGUGUCUGGGACAUCUUUAAUCACAGGUUUGCAACUGAGCAGUGAUCUGACUGCAAUUUUUAGACGAGGUGUUGUUUCUACUUAUUUCAUGGAUUUGUGUGGCCUGACAUGAUCAGGGAAAUAAUCUUGUCUGAACCUGAGCAAAUAGUCACUGGGAUGCUAAUCAUCCAGAUAAGAUUGUUCUUUUAUGUAUCAUGG